UUUCUUACCUGUCAGGGGAGACACCGUGAUCAUGUAGGUGGUUUUCCCAGGGUGAGGCUCGGCCAUUGAACUCUGGCUGUGCUGACCCCUGCGAUAUCUCCAAAUGUGGGAAACUCAACUGCAUAAUUUGUGGUAGUGGGGGACUGCGUUCAUACUCUAA
This is a small nuclear RNA of Tachyglossus aculeatus (Australian echidna), 160 nucleotides long. RefSeq annotates it as U1 spliceosomal RNA. The transcript has a single exon. Lineage: Eukaryota; Metazoa; Chordata; Mammalia; Monotremata; Tachyglossidae. The record is from RefSeq and is a predicted model, not a curated record.